This 2577-nucleotide long non-coding RNA is filed under the name Sus scrofa (pig). RNAcentral's name for it is "lncRNA (ENSSSCG00055017047.1)". The record is from RNAcentral. Lineage: Eukaryota; Metazoa; Chordata; Mammalia; Artiodactyla; Suidae.
AUUAUGAACACAUAUAUAAACAACUGAAUUUUUUUUUUUUUUUACAAAGAUGCCAAAGGCCAUGCAGUGUUUUCACUCUAGGUGAAAAGGAGUAAUUAAAACUAUAAGAAAAGGAGUUCCCAUUGUGGUGCAGCAGGAAUAAAGGGAAUGAACCCAACUAGUAUCCACGAGGACUUGGGUUCAAUCCCUGGCCAGAUCCUGGUAGGUUGCAGACACAGCUCACAUCUGGCAUUGCUGUGGUGUAGGCCAGCAGCUGCAGCUCCAAUUGGACCUCUAGACUGGGAACAUCCAUGUGCCACAGGUGCAGCCCUUUUAAAAAAAAAAACAAAAAACACAACAACCACCUACAAGAAAAGAUAUUCUCCAGAUACAAACUGGAGACAACCCAAAUGCCUGUGAAAGAUGGCAUUAUGUAAAAAAAAAAAAAAAAAAAAAAAAAUCAGCUACUGAUCUAAUGACCCUUAGAAUAACUAUGCUGUGUUAAAGCAGCAGACAAAUUAAAAAGUAUAUACUACAUGAUCUUUUAUGUGAAACUCCAGAAAAUGCAAUCUAGAGUGACAGACUGCAGACCAGCUCUUGCUUGGAGCCAUGAGGAUGAGAAGGGACGGUUGGGAGGGAAGCACUAGAAGGGGACAGAAGGGGUGACUCCUGUGUUCACUGUCUUGACUGCCAGAUGCCUUCCCAGGUAUAUACUUAGGUCAAAACUUGUCAAAUUGCGUACUUUAAAUAUGUGCAGUUUAAGCCAGUUAUACCUCAGCAAAACUUUUAAUGAGACUGACACACUGCCAACCAUGCUAAGAGGGCAGGCUAUACAACUAUUUUUAAAAACAAGAAACAACCUAAUAAGUUCCCAGAACUAAAAUGAAAAGACUGCACAUUGAAAAGCCCUGUUGACUACUAAGCAAGAUAGAAAAGGAAAACCCAGAGCAUGUAAAAAUAUGGUGAAUUCUAAGAAUCACAGAUAUGAAAACUCUAAAAGCUCCUAGAGAAAAAGCACAGAUCACCAGUAAUGUUAAGAAUAAGACUGAUGUUAAGAUUUUCAGCAGUAGCAGUUGGGCAAGAGGAUAAUGGAGCAAUACUUCAAAAGUACGAGCUGAGUAUCCUCAAAAAUUUUUAAAUAGGACUUUCGUAUGGUCCAGCAGUCCCACUUCUGGGCAUAUAUCUAAAAGACAUGACACCAUUAUCUGGGAGAGGUAAACACGCCCACGUUCACUGCAGCAUUCUUCACGCUAGUCAGGAUAUGGCAACAGCCUAAGUGGCCGUCGAUGGAUGAACGCACAAAGAAAAUGUUGUGUAUGUACGCAAUGACAUGUUAUCCAGCCAUAAAAAAAGGAGAUCCUGCCAUUUAUAACAGCAACGAUGAACCUAGAGGACAUUAUGCUAAGUGAGAUAAGCCAGACAAAAAAAGAGGAAUACUGUAUCAACUCACGUUGUGAAAUCAUUUAAAAAAAAAAAAAAGAUUAAGCUCAUAGAAACAGAAAAACCAUGAUUGCCAGGGGGAGCUGGGGGUGGAGGAAAUGGAGAGAUGUUGGUCAAGGUGUGCAGAUUCUAAUUUAUGAUGUGAGUAAAUUCUGGGGACCUAAUGCACAGCAUUGUGACUAUAGUUAAUAAUAUACACUUGAAAUUUCAUGAUUUGGACAAGAUCUUUGUGUUCAGCAUAAAUUAAUCUAAAAUAGAGCCAACACCUUUGAGAAAACAAAAAAAUGUAUUCCUGAAAGUAAAACCAACAUCUGAAGAUAGAGCAGUAUUCACCAAUAAGGUGAAGGAUGGCAAUUCUUUCCAAAUUAAUCUAUGUUCAGUGGCAUCCUGCCCUCCCUCGUGUGCACCGAAACUUAAGGUGUUUCUCUGAGAGCCCUACACGACCUUGCAUUCUGGCAGCUUCUACUUUCUAUUAAUGACGGGUGUGUCAUGUCUCUCCAAUUUAGACAGUAAAUUUGAUUGUUUUUCUGGUUUGUUAUUCUACAUCCAGUCAACCUAUAAUCUUAAUCUAAUGUAGAGAGAAGACAGUUCCCUCUCCAUAUAACUCUUUCCUGGAUAGGGGCGGAAGGUUGGGCAGGGAACUCUUCAGGACCUUCUUCUGAGCAAACCCAUCCAUUGAUUCAUUCAUUCUAAUCACUGAUAAGUGAUUUAACCUGUUCAACUAUUCUUUCUUCUAUCCCUUCAUUCAGACAACUUAAGUGGCAAAAUUUUAUCAGCACACCAUUUGGUAUCCUAAACCUGGAGGUACAACCAAAGGAGUACAGGGAGAGGGGGGACGAAUGUUGGCUAAAGGUAAGACUUCCUUAGAAGCCCAUGGGGGAGCUCCUCUCCUGUCCCCUGAGGGGCCCCCGUUACUCUGAGCAGUUGCCGUGUGAGCUGUGACAGCUUAUUGCUUGUCAGUUACCUGGGCAUGGAGCACUUGUCACCUCCCUCUCCAACAUCCAGGGGUCCUUCCCUUGCCUCAAAGAGGACAUCCCUUCUCCCUUAAACAUCCAGUGUCCUGAAAAAGAUAAAUAACCUUGACCAUGCUGUGGUUAUUACAGAAUUUAGACCUACACUUUGGGUGAUAAUGAACCUCCUUAUCACCUCAACUGUUUU